GCCCUCUUAGCUCAGUGGUAGAGCGCGUCACUCGUAUCUGCGAUACAUGACGAGGUCAGUCGUUCAAGUCGGCUAGGGGGCA
Tricholoma furcatifolium is the source of this 82-nucleotide non-coding RNA. NCBI's taxonomy places the organism in Eukaryota, Fungi, Basidiomycota, Agaricomycetes, Agaricales, Tricholomataceae. The record is from the annotation of a GenBank genome assembly.